GGGGAUUUAGCUCAGUGGCUUAAGCGUUUGCCUGAUAAGCACAAGGUCUUGAGUUUGAACCCCAGUACUCCCC
Molecule: transfer RNA, 73 nt
Filed under: Cavia porcellus (domestic guinea pig)
Lineage: Eukaryota; Metazoa; Chordata; Mammalia; Rodentia; Caviidae
Rfam family: tRNA
About the family: Transfer RNA (tRNA) molecules are approximately 80 nucleotides in length. Their secondary structure includes four short double-helical elements and three loops (D, anti-codon, and T loops). Further hydrogen bonds mediate the characteristic L-shaped molecular structure. tRNAs have two regions of fundamental functional importance: the anti-codon, which is responsible for specific mRNA codon recognition, and the 3' end, to which the tRNAs corresponding amino acid is attached (by aminoacyl-tRNA synthetases). tRNAs cope with the degeneracy of the genetic code in two manners: having more than one tRNA (with a specific anti-codon) for a particular amino acid; and 'wobble' base-pairing, i.e. permitting non-standard base-pairing at the 3rd anti-codon position.
Source: Rfam by way of RNAcentral